Oxyura jamaicensis (ruddy duck) is the source of this 2520-nucleotide long non-coding RNA. RefSeq lists it as uncharacterized. The record is from RefSeq and is a predicted model, not a curated record. The transcript has 3 exons. Lineage: Eukaryota; Metazoa; Chordata; Aves; Anseriformes; Anatidae.
AUACAGGAAUAAUCCAUGAUGAAUUUUAUGUUACUCAGAGACCGGAGUUUGACUUGUGACACUGAUUUACCUGCCUCUUUGAGGUAUAUUCCAUUCCAUGUGGAAACUUACACCUGCCAAAAUAAAUAAGAUUAAGGCACACUGCCAGACCCAAUGGUGUAUGUGGAAGCUGCAAAGAAUCACAUCUGGAUGUUUAUAUAAGGGCUAAGCUAUUCCAGGGAAGGUCAGACCAGCAUGAAGGGGCAAAUCACAGGGAAAACUCACUACAGAGAGGAGUGACAGCUGUCAGAAAGCAGGAGUUACUACCUGGGGCCUGCCCAUUGCCUGGCAGAUGGGUAUACUUACAGUGAAAUAAUUCUUAUGUUCCUGAGAUAUAGGAACCACUACAGAAACAUUUUUUCGAUCUGCAAAUCCAAGUAGUGACUGCUUCAAAACAAGAUAAAGGAGACAUUCAUCUGCUUUAGCCUCCAACUGCUCCUGGAGAGUUUUAUUCCUUCUUGAAGACUUCCCUGGCACAGUAAGUAUUGCCACAACAAGUGGAAGGAAGAACACUUGUUAGGCUAAACUCUUCUUUGAAGCUAUAUCCCCUCCUUAAGCCUACUAUCAGCAUGUGUCACAGUGGCAUUUUGCAAAUCUGCUGUGCAUUCCUACACACCAAAUGUUUAUUAUGCAUUUUAAUAUGUUCUAUCACAACACGGGGAAUAUGCUAAAUUGAAAUCUGUGACAACACAGCUUCUGAGUGACUGUGUAUUUCUUAUUUCUUAGUAGCCAAAUUAGCUUUCUAUGGAAGGUGAUUUAGCCCAGUUCAAUUGAACUAGUUUUGAAAAAUGUCUCUGGCAAACUCCAUUCUCUGCCAGGCCAGGCUGCAGCCUCUGUGACUGAUUUAUUGGCCAUGUCCCUGCUUGCCUGCCUUGGUGUGGUCCUGUAACACCCAUGCCAGGGAUGAAAUCUGCUUCUGACGUGGAUUUCAGGUUAUUCACAUGCCACUCCUAUGUGAGGCUCAGACUGUUCAAAUAUGUGGAAGUCAGGAAGAACUCUGUUAGAACAGAAGAGGUCAAAUGAACAGAAUAACUCAAAAUCAGACAUGACCCAAGAACAGAAAGACUGCCUCCUGUCUGAAAAUUCAUCCUCUUCUCCUUGGAAAUGAGCAAGUCUCUUCCAAGAUAUUAAAUUUAGCUUUAAAAUUUUCCUGUUUAUUAAAACUGCAUAGAGGAAAAGAUACAGACCUAAGCAUGAACUUGUGGUCUUUAGCUAGACUGUAACAGCUAGUGAGGUUCAGUGAUUAGUUUGUUGGUGGAUAAGGACCCUUCAAAACUGCUCCUUGAAAGCAGACACAUUCUUGUCAAGAACUUUGAAGAAGAGAUACUAUCAGUGAUAUCACAAGAGUGAUACAGGGGAAAACCAGAACCCUAAUACAUCAAAGUGUUAAUACAGCAAAAUGCUUCACUGCUUUUCAAAAAGAGCACAUACUGUCUAAUGGGACUUGUGUGCUUGUCGAAGCCAUGCAAAUAGCACACAGAUGUAUAUUAGGCUAGAACAAAAGCAGGAAUUACACUUUUAAUGAAAAUGUGGGUAGAAAGGAAAGAGGAAAAGUCAACAUAAAGCUUGUAUGUGUAGGCAGGAGGAUGAAAAUAGGGAAUUCAAGACAGGAUCUUGGGCAUCAGAUAUGUAGCUCAAUUCCAAAGAGGAUCAGGAGGAUGGAGAAUUGAGGUGAAGAAAGUAAGGGCUGAACAUCUGAGGAGAGGACAACCUCCUCCUUAUUAGAGGAUAAAGAUGUCUUCCCUGAUGCAUGACCCAGCAUAGUGCUAGAGAAGUGGCACUGGUAAAGUUGCUUUUUAUGUUCUCUCAUUUUAAUUUCUAUGUUUGUAUUAUAUUCUCUGUUAUCCUUUAGAAUCUUGCAGUUCUCAUAUGGUUUUAUCUUAGCUUGCUGACCAGCACUAUACUGAUAUAUGAUCUCUGUUAAACUUGGCUCUAUCACGAGCUUUCAGGGAGCUUUCUGGUUCAGCCUCUAUUCUUGCAUCCUGUAGCUAUCAUUGUACUGAAUAUAUGUCGAAUAAGGGUCACAGCCACAGCCAUUGCUGGAGUUAUAAGGUUGGGAUGUGGGACUUGGAACUCCCAGGCCCUGUUUGGGUCUUUGCUUCCUUGUGGUUUUCGAAGCUGAGCAACAUCCCUGGAGCUUCUGAUCACAUACAGGCAAAGGCACCGUUUGGUGUAGCAUUGCUGUUGGCUGUUUCAAUGUUAUUGUAAAGACAGACUCAUUAAAAGACUGUUGGAAGCAUCUCUUGUUCAGAUGAUUCAACUUUAUCUGGAUCUUUUUGGGUUCUCAUUUCAAAAGAGUGUUCCAUUAAAAAAAACAAACAAACAAACAAAAAAACAUUCUAUUAAAUUCAUUACAGAGUUCAAAUAGGAAUCAAAACUGGUUUGGAUUAAACUUUUUGUUUAGCCUCGAACAUUAUUACUUUUUUAAUGUUGUCUUGCUUGCUGAAAUGUUUCUCUUUUUUUCCCCUCAAAUUGCCAGCG